RNAcentral lists this ribosomal RNA (442 nucleotides) under uncultured soil bacterium. RNAcentral describes it as "bacterial SSU rRNA". It matches the Rfam family "Bacterial small subunit ribosomal RNA", at positions 94 to 575 of the family's 1533-position model. The record is from RNAcentral.
AGUGGCGGACGGGUGAGUAACACGUAGGUAACCUGCCUUGAAGUGGGGGACAACCGGGGAAACCCGGGCUAAUACCGCAUAAGACCACUGGGAGAAAAGUAGCGCUUUGAGAGGGGCCUGCGGCCUAUCAGGUAGUUGGCGGGGUAAAGGCCCACCAAGCCAAAGACGGGUAGCCGGACUGAGAGGUUGAACGGCCACACUGGAACUGAGACACGGUCCAGACUCCUACGGGAGGCAGCAGUGGGGAAUUUUGCGCAAUGGGCGAAAGCCUGACGCAGCGACGCCGCGUGGAGGAUGAAGGUCUUCGGAUUGUAAACUCCUUUUGCAGGGGAAGAUUGACGGUACCCUGCGAAUAAGCCACGGCUAACUCUGUGCCAGCAGCCGCGGUAAGACAGAGGUGGCAAGCGUUGUUCGGAAUUACUGGGCUUAAAGGGCGCGUAGG